UAGAACCUAAUUAUGCAGUGAUGCAAUAUAUUGAAAUAGCUAUAAAUUACCAAGAAAACUGAGGUUGCAUGAAUCUAAAAACCAAUGAACAUGGACCUGUUAUCAGAGUACCCAGGCUACCCAGGCCCUUCAUAAGUCAGACAAGUCCAACUAAGAGCAGUGUCUCCAUGCAGUGUAAGCAGUUCCGAGCAUACUUGUUUUGUCUUUUGUUCUUUUCUAGUUUCUUGUUCUUUUGCAAGAAGUCUACCAACCUGUGGGAAUAUUAGUGGCAAAAUCUUACUAACUUGAUGUUGAAUUUGAAGUUUAUGUGGGAAUCCAUGGCUACACCAACCCCCCAAAUAUAAUAUUUCUGAAGACACAAGGAAAUGAUAUAGACUUCAUUUUUGGCUCUUGCUCGAUUAAAAAUGGAAAAGUCUACAAAUUGUUCUUUUGCAGCAAAUCUGUUUUGGCUGUCAAAAUACAAGAGCGAAAACAUUCUUGCCCUGAGGAGAACACAUGACAAUAUGAGUACUUCCAUCCAAAAUUUCCCCAUUAAUACAAUGUGGAACUGUAAUCCUGAUGUGUAAGUGCUGAUAUUCAGAAAUACUGCUCCUUCAUGUACUCAAAAGUAAAUUUCUGCACUCCCACAGCUUGCUUCUCUCUUCCUUUCUCUUCCCACCCUUCUCACAGCAUGAAGGCAGCUCUGGAGGGUGCCUCACUGUCAACUUCUAAGAGCAAUCUCAAACAACAAGCCAAAACAUAUCGCCACAUCUGCCAUAGAUUUUUUAAUUAUUAUUAUUUUAAUAAUAGCUUAUGGCAUAUUUGUGUCUCCCCUCAGAGGCUCUUUUGCUGUGUAUACCAUAUUGCUCAGUCAAGUCAUAACUGUGUUUAAGGAUGACAGAACACCCAUCUUGUCCACUCAAUUGAUGAAAAGCAAUGCACUGUUUUUUUAACAAACCUCUCUAAGUGCUUGAACUCACCUUCAGUUAACCAAUAUUGUCUGGUAGAGGAGAAAAGGCUAUUUUUUGAUCACUUAACUUGAAACAAAGGGAAAAAUUAUUGCCUUGUGAACAAUAAUUCUUUAUUUUUCUGUGCUGAAGGGACAGUCUCUGUGAAGAAUCAUCCUUGUCUAAAUAAAAUGACCUUUAUUGAUUUAAUUUAAAACUCUUUAUUGUCUCAGCUAAAGUGAAUCAAAUGGAAUUGCUACAGCUCAGGGGAGUAUAUCACAUCACCAGAGCAUCAAUUACCUAGACGACUGCAUCUUGGAACUACAAUAAGAGCAUAGUUUCAGAAGCUUUAAAAAUAGAAAUGGACUUUAGGAGGACCAUUGAGAAAAGGCUUUAUUCCAGCAGAGAAUCUCUAAAUGUGUGCACCAUUAUCUCCCAAGCAGAAAACAUCUCUAAAAGAUGCAACUGUGGUACAUAUCUAACCACUGACAUCUGUGUUAGCUAUUAAUUGGGAAUAUAUUUUUUUUUUUUAAGUAGAACAUCUUGAGCUUUUACAAAUCUGAAGUAGAUAAAAUUCCCAACACACUGGCCUUCAACAUCUGUACUCUCCUGUGGAUUAUGCCUUAUACAAUAUUCUGGAAGAUAUGAGCAGAAACACACAGAAUUCCUUUAUGUAUUUCAGGACCUGUCUCUUGUUUUGUCUUAUUUUCUCAAAAGUGUUUAUAACAUAAAGCAGAUCUCAGCAGUAUAGGUAAGUAGUGUUCAUGGUUGUUCUCUCUGUGAGCUUGAUUGUUGAUAGGGAUAAAUAAACUUUAAACUAUGUGUCCCUGUAUAUGUUUUAUCUACUUGUGUCAGCUAAGAACAACUCAUUGAAAUAAAUAACCAACAGCCAGUCUCAACUAUUUCUCUUAGAUAGAUUUUGUCAGACAUUUUACUUUGGUCAAAUACAAAGUAUUUGGCUUCUUAGUCUGACUUUGGGAUAGAAUUGUAUUGGACCCUGAAACAUAGAAUAUUGGACUACAUAAUAGACUUUUCAUACCUUAAGUUCUAAAAGUAACUACAUUCAGAAAAAAUGCUCAGAUAAGGUUUCUUAUUUUGGCUUAACAAGUUUCUACUUUGUUUGGAGUAUUUUCUCUUUUCAUGUUUCUUAUUAUUUUCUCAUGAAAAAAAAAAAUAAAUAGUGCUGAUUCCCCUCAUGAAUUGUGAAUACUGGCAUGAAGGAAGACAUAUUACACCACAAAUUUGAGGCUUUAUCUUCAGAAGUUGUCUCAUUUGGCUCUUCACAAUGUAUUUUAUAUGAUUAAAUAGGAUAUCAAAACAACAACUUCAGAGUCUCCAGAAUUUCAGAACACCAAUUCUGACGUAACUGCCAUCUAAAAUGAAAUCUUGACUGUAUUCAUCUUUAGGAAGUUUUAACCAUGAUUUAUUUCUUUUGCAUCCAGACAAAAAGAAUAUCAAGGCUAUCAAAAGCAGCACUUUGCAGUAAAUCAUAGUGCUGUUGGAAUGGUGUCCUCUGCUCUGCUUGUGGUUUGGAGUUAUCUUACUAUACUCUUUUGCUUUUGUUUUCAAUCCAUUGUACUUUCUGCAUCAGUGAGUAAGUCUAACUAUGCCUCAACAUAUCAGGUAAGGUAUGCCUUCCAAAGACAACUCGUAUAAUGGGCUUCAUACAUAAAUCUAUUUGUAUAUAUGACAUACAUGUUUCCUGGUUGCCCUAGACUCCCUGCACAGUACAGAGACAAAUUAUGUGUUGUUAUUUUGGUAGAGGAAUGUCUACUAUCUAAUAGGAAAUAGUAAAUAGAGAUAUUAAGAUAUCUACAAGAUUUUUGUUAGAGAAAUCUCAAUUUUGACACAUGGUACUAAUUAGUCACCUACUAACCACAUACCUACCAAAGCCUUUUAACACUCACUGAAAAUAUGUGAGAUUUCUCAGAAAGAGUUUUUGUUCAUAAAUGAGAUCAUUCUUUCAGGAUAGAAAGUCUGUUAUACGCUCCACUCAGUAGCUUCCUGGACCUUGAUUCAAAGCCUAUGAAGUCACCAAGAGGUUUUGCAUUGAGUUUAUUGGCUUUGAAUGAGGCCCAGGAUAAAAAUCCAGACAAAAACUUUGACCUUGUGGUUUAUGAGCAUAUGAACAUAACUGGGACCCUUCUAGAUUAAAGAUUUGAAGAAGUCUCUUCUUGUCCUGAAAGACCAUGUAGAAUGUUCAUUUUUUGAAGAAAAAUAUCUGUGCAUUUUCAAAUGGGUCUUAGUGAGUUUUGAACAAAAGACAUUAAGCUUCAAGUUGCUGCUCUCCAGUGUUUUCCUGAGUAUGGCACCAUCAAAUGUGUUUUUUUAACCUAUCUCAUUGCUCACAUUUUGCUGGUCAGUUAAUUGUGGUAGGUUUGUUUCUAAUCUGGAGAUUAGAAAUAAUUAGAAAUAAUCUUGAGAUCUGGAAAGUUUUAAGGAUGGUCCAUUAAUGCUUCAUUACUUUACUUUGCCUUUUUGUGGUCCAAUACAUUUUAUCAACUUUUUGUGUGCUAAAUUCAUUUUCUGGCCAAUUUGAAAACACACUUUCAUAAACAUUUCACCUUUCUUUCUUUCUUUAUCAGCACUACAUGGGACAAACAACAAUGUUAGCGUGACCCAGUCUGACUUCAACAAUCAGCAACUGUACAGUAAUAAUCUGCAAAAUGGUGUUCUUCAUAGAGAGAAUAAGCUUUACAACAGUAAAGAGGCUUGGGCUUUGCCAGAAAUUUGGAACAGCUUUCUGUCCAGCAAAAAGUAUUUUUGUAAGAUACCAUUCUUCAAACAGAAUACUUCAAAGGAUAUUUGGGUUUCUUUUUCAUUUGUCCUAAAGACUAAUAGUUCAUUACCUUUUGGCUGAAUUUUGUAAUGUCAACACCUAGAGAAACUUCAAGAAAAAGGCUUUUUACAAGUGAGACACAGAACACUCCUGGAAACUGGGCUGAACAGCUCUCUCAGUGGCUGAACACCUCAAAAGCAACAUGCUCUUCCAAUCCAGCUAUAUGGCAUAGUUCUUUCACGUUGACUUAAAUAAGCUGAAAAAUGAAACUGCACUGAAGAACACAAGUCUAUCUUCAGCACCCUGCAUACUCAGCAAGGAUCCAUAGAGGGAACAAGCAAAAUAUGUCACAGAUAUUUCAUGCACUAAUGAAGACAGUCAUCCAGUUGGCUACUCAUCCAAGAGUCCACCUGAAAUACAGUAUGGAAUAGAGCAGAACAAGCAGUGAAAUUAGGUCUGUUAUGAAAUGAGAUCUCUAACAAAAUAGUAUAUACUUUCAUCAAAGGAACUGCAUGGUCAAAUAUUGAAGACAAUUAAGGGAUUCCAUGCAUGAUGGUCAGACUUUGCCUGGUACCAGAGCUUCCCAUUCAUCCCAGAGAGCUAGAGGCAAUUAUCUGAGCUUUCUCUUCUUUAAAACCAGUCUUUCUUCUACCAAGAACUUACCAUAGUUCUGGUCAAGGUUUCUCCACAGAAGAUGUCAUCAGACUAAUUUGUUUUGGAAGGUGGAUUAAGAAAAUGAAUACUACCCCAUUGCCCUUAGAUGUUGUCCAAUCUGUCUGCUCCAAGAUUCCUUAGGUCUGAAGGGACUGCACCACCAUCACAUCCCCGACAAGUAUGUUGUCUUGGACUUUCUGCCAUUUUCCCCUCUAGGGGAGGGUGAAAGGGUCACUGCCACUUGUCUUGCUGCUGAUUUCCUUAUGUAAAACAACUUCACCUGGGACCAGAGUUUGCAAAUGUGACUUCCCUUCUGCCCCUCAAACUGUGGAUCUUGAAGUUAGUGCUCCAGUGCUGAAAAGGAAAUGUUUUCCUUGCAAUUAGGUACUGAUUGCACCAAGACCAGGUACUCAAGAUAUUCUUUUCAGACCAGAGGACUUGAAGCUUAUUCUUUAUUUUAAAAUAAAAAACAGAAUUUCUGAUGUAAUUCCAAUACCGGCUGGAAGUGCUAGGAACCCUGGCACACGUCUUCAGUGACUUUCUGUCCAUCCAGCAUGAAUUGCAUGAGAACACAUCCAUCCAGAUUGCGUGAGAAAUUGUGAAUGAUUCUUCCCAAAUUGCUUGCAUGCAAAAUUCUGUUGCUAUCACUUCAAUUCAGAUUUACAUCUGAAUGAAUGUGGAAGUUGAGGAUGGAGUGUGCCAAUUGCUGCUUUUAGCUCUUAAUGCAAUAGGACAUAAUUCAUUUCAGUGUUUGACAAACUGGGAUUUUUAAAGGAAAUUGUUUAGUUCUAUAUUAUUGGAAGUGACAUUUAUAUACUCUGGAUGUUUUCUUGUGGUUCUCUUUUUCUCUAUAGUUUAGUUCUUCUGGUACUAAUAAGUUUUCCAGAACAGAAAUGCCAUGAAGUAAAGCAGUGAUUAUAUGUUAAAGCAGAGACAAUUCUGUUACUGAAAACUGAUAUAUAUCUCUUCUUACCUUCUUUAAUAUAAAUAGGAAGCAACAUACUAGAUCAAUUUCUUAAUUGAAUUGAAGUCUUGAUCCAAUGCGCUCUAAUAUCAAAUACCAAAUGGAUUUCAGUUCAGACCUUUAACAGUCAAAUAAUUGGGCAGUAUGAAACACAGAGAAUUAGUAAUCUCUUCUUGUAUGAUGAAGUUCCUGAUGUUGUAAUAGUUCUCUUACUACCAUCCAGUGGUAUUAUUGGCACAUUUCCAUCUUAUUGUUCUUAUUCCCCCAAGAUUUGUUUCACCAGUAUUCACUCAUUUUUAGGCAUUCUUUCCAUUGCUUAGUGUAUCUGAUAUUACACCGUGGCACUAAAUUAACCUAAGCCUGUGCAUUCCUUUUGCCAGGCCAAGGAUUGUCUCCAUUUCCCAGUGUGCAGCUAUGUUUAUACCAAGAACACAGUGUUAAACACCUGAGUCCUGCUUUCCUGAGUACUUAUGCUCCCCAGCUCCCCACUCCCCUGCCACUCCAUAUCAAACCCUCUCAUUUGCUCCUCUCUCCUUGGACCCUCUCAGGACCUACACCCCACUUAGAGUUCUUGCAUGUUCCCACUUCCCAGCCCUCCAGUAGACCAUCUACCAUUCACAAUUGUAUUUUGCCUGAUUUGUCUUUCUCUUCGACAGUAUAUUGGAAAAACCAAAGAGAAUAGCUAAAGCAAGGGCAUUGUUUCACUGGUAUGUGUUAAUAGUUUUCUGAGAGUGGGUCUUUGAUUUAUAGACAAUUAAAGUUGCUCAGUUUACUAACCAGAUGCCAGGGGCUCUGUGUGUCACCCUCCUUUUCAUCCUGCAGCUUUCUGAUUUCCACCCAAACCCCUAGGGUUCUGCCCACUGACAUUUAGAAUAUCCCCUGGAAGUGAUUGGAUGUGGCAUUCAAAAGCUGCCACAUUAGGUCCAAACAUUUAAAGAGAAAUGCCAUCCUGAUGACUCCAAAGUUUUAUAAACAGUCAAAACAUGGCACUGCAAGUUCCCCACGCUUACUGUCUCUCAAUGAUUUCCAGAACAAAUGUAUUUUGUACACAAGCAAAAGCACGUUUUUUUUUCUAACUUUUCUAAUUUUGCAAGCACAGUCUGGACCCUGAUAUUCAUGUCUGAUUUUUUUCAUUCUCAUGCAUCAACAGCAUUACCAGCAACCCAGCAGAUCAAACACAACCCUGAUCAGCUUUGAAAAACAAAACAAAAAACGAAAAAUUCUUCCUGCUGUGUCUUCUGUCUCCAGGGCUCCCCAUUUUCUUAACGUUAAUGUCUAUUUCAAUCGUGAAGCAACCAUUACAUGGUCUUAAAAAUCAGGAGCUUAACUUAAAGCUAAUAUAUGUAUUCCUUUACUUUUAAAAUGCAUGUGUGUUAGUUUCUCAAACUUUUGUUUACCACUGCGAAAAACAGAAUAGAAUUUGUAUGUUACUACAUUCAAAUACUUAAGUUGGAUCUUUCAGAGCAACAACAAAUAGUGUAAGAGGCUUGAGCACAGAAGUUACUAUAACUGGUUGCAUUAAUCUGUCAUUCUGUCAUUGACAGACUGGGUGAAAUAAAACACUUGGCUCACUCUGGUUAUAGGUCUGUGAUCACUCUAAACUGACAUAAGUGGGGGCUGAUGCCAAAAGGAGGUGGUCUCAGUCCUGCUACUUUUCUUGUGCUGAUCCUACUUUUCAGUGGCUGUCUGAUGAACUGGAUCAGAGGACUAACUGACUGGUCUUCUGACAGGUUAGUUAUUAUCUGGAUCGGUUCCUGGCCCCAAAAAUUAUGUGCCUGCAUGAAUUUUACUUGUACCGACAUUCCAGAAAAUUAUGGAAUGUGAAAUUGAGGAAAAGAUGUUAAAUGAGGAAACAUUUUUUUUUCAACUAUUCUUUGGGAUAUAAACAUACCCUUUCCAAUCAGUCUUGCUGUAUUUUCCAUGCCAACUGAAAACUGAACUUGCCCAAAGCAAUCAGCUUUGUUUCCAGUCCAGAUCCACUGAAAGCUUCCUUAACCACACAACAAGCAUCAGGCUCCCAUUGCUCUACUGCCAUAUGGGUAGUGACUAGAGGAUGCUGUGUGCCUUUCAGCUUUACCUACCUGCUCAUGUUCAUGACAGCAUGUUCAUGUUCAUGACAGUAUAAGCUACAUGUACACCUACAGAGUAGAUGAAGAUCAGCCAAUAUUCCACAAGACUUCUCACUGCCAGAUUUGCUUAUGGCAAAUAUAGAUUUUACAUGAAUUCCACCAUCAAGAUGUACAUUGACGUGUCAUUCUCCUUCAGGAUAAAUUGAUGUGAUAUGCAACAUAAAAUACAAAAACACAUUUUUACUA
Molecule: long non-coding RNA, 7638 nt
Organism: Anas platyrhynchos (mallard)
Lineage: Eukaryota; Metazoa; Chordata; Aves; Anseriformes; Anatidae
Source: RefSeq, a predicted model, not a curated record